RNAcentral lists this transfer RNA (68 nucleotides) under Marmota monax (woodchuck). RNAcentral's name for it is "tRNA.Gly". It matches the Rfam family "tRNA", at positions 6 to 65 of the family's 71-position model. Rfam says of the family: Transfer RNA (tRNA) molecules are approximately 80 nucleotides in length. Their secondary structure includes four short double-helical elements and three loops (D, anti-codon, and T loops). Further hydrogen bonds mediate the characteristic L-shaped molecular structure. tRNAs have two regions of fundamental functional importance: the anti-codon, which is responsible for specific mRNA codon recognition, and the 3' end, to which the tRNAs corresponding amino acid is attached (by aminoacyl-tRNA synthetases). tRNAs cope with the degeneracy of the genetic code in two manners: having more than one tRNA (with a specific anti-codon) for a particular amino acid; and 'wobble' base-pairing, i.e. permitting non-standard base-pairing at the 3rd anti-codon position. Lineage: Eukaryota; Metazoa; Chordata; Mammalia; Rodentia; Sciuridae. The record is from RNAcentral.
GGAUGUAGCUUAGUUGGUAGAGUGCUUGCCUCCCAUCCACAAGGCCCUGGGUUUGAUUCCCAGCACCA